Molecule: unclassified non-coding RNA, 3064 nt
Filed under: Leishmania donovani
Lineage: Eukaryota; Euglenozoa; Kinetoplastea; Trypanosomatida; Trypanosomatidae
Description: gene:LdHU3.35.2670(CDS-product:Domain_of_unknown_ function_(DUF4205)_putative)
Source: RNAcentral
CACGAGUGAAGGUUCACAUAGACCUCCCUGAGCGGCCAUAGACACCAGCAGCUCUUCGGCUGACCAACCGCGUGCGCCGCCGCCUCUCUCCCUGGUAGCCCGCCUUCGGCGAGGAAGGCUACCAACGACGCGGAGAGCUGAACAGGAGCCCCGAUACGCCCCACCACAACGAAGAAGGACCCGCCAUGCCGCCCAAGAAAGUCAAGGAUCUAGCGAAUGCUCCUGUGCUCAAGAUGGCACACGAGGAGCAGGUGCAGCUCCUGUCUGAUGCGCUACUUCGAGAGUACAUGCACCGUCGCGGCUUCCUCGCGACCUUGAAGGCGUUUGAUGUGGAGCAUCCGCGCGACGCAAACACGAUCUCCUCGCGCGCGCUCAUGUCCGACCUCAUGGCGCUCAACCCUGACGAUCAGCAGCGCAUGAAAGGCGAGGGCAUUGAAACAAUCAUGGAGAUGCUGUGCAACUUGCGCGUUGAGCGCCGACUAGAAACGGAGAGGCUGAUAGCUGAGGCGCACAUGCCGCUGCCACAGGUGCCCGCCAACUACGAAGCACUCAAGAAUAAGCAAGCUGCGCGAGAGGCUCGAAUAGAGGAGAGACAGCUGCGAAAAGUGUCCUCCAAGAAGCCCAAGGUGUUCACUUCCGCAACGAGAGAUCAUGAGCUCGAAGGGGCCGGCGACGCGCCCCAGCGGAACAACAGCAGGCACAGCAAGCGCCACCAGCACCGCUCGGUCACCUCGCCAAGCGGCGCGUCCCGCGGGAAAGAGUUGGCUGGCAUCACGAUGGACGACUUGCUUGACAGCUCGCAUGGUAGCAGCAACAAUGUCGAAGAACACUUCAGCCGAGACAAAGAGGAGGAGGGCGGCAGCAGCUCCGACAGCCACAACGCAGAGCGGCCCGGCGCGAGAUCAGCUGCCACGUCGACUGCGUCGCAUGCAGGUCUGUCCUCGUCGAGGAUUGAGAAUACACCAGCCACCCAACCUGCUUGGAUGGAGGUUGCCGCGAAGCAGAAGUCAUGGUUGACGAAAGGGAAUGGUGGUGGCGGUGGAGCGCAACAGAGGCCCUCUGACGACGAGGGUGACGAUGAUGACGGUGCGGCCGACAGCGAGGCGGACGAGGACAGCGACGACGGUGUCGAAGGCCUUGGAGGAGCUGCAAUGACGGCAGAGCAGCGAGAGCAGCUCUGUGCCGCUUUUCAGCUUCUCUGCGGCUUUGACGGCAGCUUGCACAAGGCCGUUCUGGAGCAAGGCUUUACCUUCGACGACUGCGCCGACUGCGCCCUUAUCCAGUGGCAGCGAGGCGGCUGCGACGGGGUUAUUGCACCGAUUCAAGCCUUUGUGGCUGCCUACUACUAUGAGCGCGAAGUGUAUGUGGGCAAGGAGAAGCGCCAGCGCGAAUGCCUUGCCAAGGCGUUGUGCACUUCGCUGGAGCAGGCACAGCCGAACGCUGCCAAGAUUGUGCUGCUCGACAGCGUGUGGAAGACCGAGCGUGGCGGCUCUCGCUACACACGCAGCCACGUUCUGCGGCAGGCGGAGAAGCCUCGCACGCGAUGCUGGGCGAAGAUGACGAGCAUGCAGGAGGUCACUGAGGUUCUACGCGACACACUACUCACCGAGGAGCGCUGGAUGAAGCCACGCGGCGGGGGCGUUGCGAGCUUCUUGUUCUCACUGCUCGUCUCGCGCGGGGUGGAUGUGGUGCAGCAGGAGCUCACAAAGGCGAGCACCGCCGAUAGCGGGCGUCCGUCGCUGCUUCUUCCCAUGUCUGGCCGCGCGACGCUGGGCCUCGUCAAUCUUGUCUUGACGGGUCGCGCCAUUUUUUUUCGUCACAACGGGGUGCGGAACGGGAAUGAAGUGGGGUACUCUUCCAGACUCCGCUGCGGGCUUCUCUGCGGCGAUUCUGCCGCCGAUUUGGACGACCACGACCGAGCCGCUGCCGUCAGUGCGGCGUCGUCGUCUCCGCUUUCCUACACGAAUGCAACGGAGCCGCAAUUUCCCAGCUGGGUGGUAUGGCACCGGGAGAGCUUCGCGAAUCUGUAUAUGCCCAAAGAUACGCGGCAGCUUUUUCAACAAAAGCUGAAUUUGGGCGGGAACGCAUCUGUCGAUCUGGUCUACUGGGACGCCGCAACGGAGGACGAGGAAUUCCCUCUGACGGUGACGGUGCGCAGCAUCGUCUUCGGUGCCGGCAGCGGCAGCGGUGGUGGUGCGCGUAACGCCAAGUCGUUCGUUAACACCGCCAUCACAUCGGUUCCAGCGUGGUCGUCGGCGGUGAUUGACUGGAGAGGGAAGGCGCCUCUCCGAGAUUGAGCGCGGCGAGGCGAGCGUUUGGGCAACUCUACAGUGACUUGACAUGAACACCGAUGGCAUGGCCUACGAGGCGCGCCAAGACGUGUGCGUUUACGUAUAUAUGAGUGAACGUGUGCUGAUCCACACCUCUCCGGCUCUUCCACCAUGCUUCACCUUUUGUUGUCGCGACGGCUUCCAGGGUAUGCUGGCUUGUUCUUGUUCUCUCUCAAUGCGUGUGCAAGUAUAGGUCGCCUGGUUUUUGUUCUCCCUGUUUUUUUUUUCCUCCUUGUGCCGCUGCGUCGUGCGCUUUCUGGCUCUCCUCCCCUUCUUCCCCCGCCCCGCCUUGGCUGUUGUUCUUGUUGCUGCUGCGCGUUCGCUCCGGCCACGCGCCCUCCUCUCUCCCUCAUUGAGUACCGUAAUACCCACUCCCCUUUCCCUUCCCCUCUUCUCGGAAGGUGACCAGACGAACCACAAAGAAGGAGAGAGGAACAUCACAGAUUCCCCCUUUCCCCCGAAAAAAAAAUCCGCUCUCACAUAUUACGGUAUAUAUGCACCUAGGAACGAGGGAAGGAUGGCAAAUCUCGUUUCUCUUGCACCACCCUCUUUGUAUGAUCUGCAGUUGGUACGUGAGGUCAGCUCCCGCCGCCGCCCCCUCCCCUUCACCCUCCUCUCCCCUGAAUGACGGACAAGAAACCAAAAGCGGUGGUUUCCUAUGGGUGGUGCCCGGAGAAGCGAUUGGUGAUGUGUUGAUUCUAGGGUCAAUCAUACAUCCGCUUCCUUCUCUGAAG